This 569-nucleotide small RNA is filed under the name Pan troglodytes (chimpanzee). RNAcentral describes it as "processed transcript". The record is from RNAcentral. Lineage: Eukaryota; Metazoa; Chordata; Mammalia; Primates; Hominidae.
ACUUCACACCCCGUGCCUCCCCGACUCUCCUGGCUCCUCCGCCCAGAUCCCCGGCGCUCCCGCGUUCGGUGACGGCCGGGUAGGCUGUAGGCAGCGCAAUGCCAAGACAGAGCUGCUGGCGGCGGCGGGCGAAUCUCCCUGCACCAUGAGCCUCGGCUCCAGCCCCGUUUGGGGCCGAUAAGCACAGCGCACGCCGCCCUCCAUUUGCCCCGGGGCCUCGGCUGCGAAGAUAGCGGCGGCCGGACAGGAAGCCCGAGGAAAGCGCUGGGCCGCCUCUCUACGAACACGUGAAGGAAAAGCAGCUCCGUCCACAGCGCCGCUUCGGGGCUCCUAGGGAGUCGGGCCCCGGGCCGCCACCAUCACCUCGGCCGCUGCCGCCAUAGCCUUGUUUCCCCAUCCCCCGCCAUGGCCGAGGACCUCUCUGCGGCCACGUCCUACACCGAAGAUGAUUUCUACUGCCCCGUCUGUCAGGAGGUGCUCAAAACGCCCGUGCGGACCACGGCCUGUCAGCACGUAGACAGGGUCAUGCUGUGUUACCCAGGCAGGCCUUGAACUCAUUGGCUCAAGAG